This 440-nucleotide ribosomal RNA is filed under the name uncultured bacterium. RNAcentral's name for it is "partial 16S ribosomal RNA". It matches the Rfam family "Bacterial small subunit ribosomal RNA", at positions 338 to 795 of the family's 1533-position model. The record is from RNAcentral.
CCUACGGGUGGCAGCAGUGGGGAAUAUUGCACAAUGGGGGAAACACUGAUGCAGCGACGCCGCGUGAGUGAAGAAGUAAUUCGUUAUGUAAAGCUCUAUCAGCAGGGAAGAAAAUGCCGGUACCUGAGUAUGAAGCCCUGGCGAACUCCGUGCCAGCAGCCGCGGUAAUACGUAGGGGGCAAGCGUUAUCCGGAGUGACUGGGUGUAAAGGGAGCGUAGACGGCGGUGCAAGUCAGGAGUGAAAGGCGGGGGCUCAACCCUCGGACUGCUAGGGAAACUAUACGGCUGGAGUGCAAGAGAGGUAAGCAGAAUUCCUAGUGUAGCGGUGAAAUGCGUAGAUAUUAGGAGGAAUACCAGUGGCGAAGGCGGCUUACUGGACUGUAACUGACGUUGAGGUGCGAAAGCGUGGGGAGCAAACAGGAUUAGAUACCCGAGUAGUC